CUUCAAGGGCCUUUUGCUUUUCGUCAUUUUGGUUCUAUAAGCAAUUUCGUGCUCGAAACAGUUUUCCUGUCGCUUUACAUCGCCCUAUUCUUAUUACUUGACCCCGGUGCUGACUACGAACGAUGCGGCGUUCAAUAGGAGACAGCCUGGCACUGGAAGAACGCGACAAAAACGGGCCAAUCAGCUCCCGUUAAAGGCCAAGCAACAACCAUGCGGAAACAGAUAGGGAGAAGGCAUGUGAAUCUUUGAAGCUUCGUUUAUACGAGUACCAUCAACGGACAAAUCGAUCAGCAGAAUGAAGCAGAUAAUAAUGAAGAUAAUAACGAUGACCGCUCCUCGGCUUCAACGGCGCUGUACAGCUAUGGCCAAACUCGACAUAGUCGUACUCGACACUCAGGACGGGCAAGCGUGCAGGAAAGUCUUUCUUAACUCCACCAGCUGACCACAUUCAGGCCGUUAUCGGUUCCGACAAAAUGACAGGAAGUGGGGUCCAAUGUAGACAAUACGCCAGACCUUCUAAAACAGCAAAGACGAUAAAGGAAUCUGGAACGAAAGUAGGCGAACAAGAGAGGCCUUAGUAGGACAAUAAGAAUAAACAAAUAUAGACGAACUAUUACAGUGGAUGAGGGGAUGUACGUCUAAUUUAUAGUAGGAUACAAAUGAAUGAAAUCCUCAUCCCUGGCCGUUCCUGCUCUGGCCUGGUCUGAGGUGCUGCUAGUUCAUGAUGUGUUGUUGAUGGCGGUCUGAGCUUUAGGAUUAGAGUGAAGGGCGAGCUAAUCGAGAUACGGAUUGUGCUAGCAUUGAGGUUGAUUUCUUAAGCAGACUCAACGGCGACGAUGACGACAACGCCGGUAUCGCUUCGUUUAACUCGGCCGCAGCACCAUUAACAGUGGAUUCGCGCGUCAAUAGACGAUUUGACGAAAAUUCAAUCGAGCGUGGAAUUACCGUAGGCAUAGUAGUUCAAAUGAUGGGAAACGACUUGCCGCUGGCUACCGGUCACAAAGACAUACAACAGAAGAGAAUGACUGGGUAAAUACUGGACAAAUGCUAUUCCACCCACAGAGCUAACGACGAUACAACCAUUACGGGGUUGACUAUUUGCUAGUUCACGUUCGAGCUGACCCAGAGAUAGUGAUCUAACCGUGAAUUAACAACUCCAACUUCAUCUGGUUUAUCGAAGGAGCGGACAUUCGUCAGAAAUCUGUGUUCACUGAAAGAAGGGAGUCCAUUUUUCCUGCGCGCCCUGUCUAGUCCGUCCUCUUCUGGCCGUUUAUCCUGCUUCAUAUUCCUUUCAGCGGCCGCAAACAGGUCUCCUCUUCGCCUCUAACCUCGACCUCCGUUUACGCCACUUUCUGUGAUACAGUUGAGUGGCGUUGCUGUGUAUCGGCUGAUAGGAUGAAAGUCUGGUUGGCGGCAUCUUCUUGAUGUCUACUGCAGCCACCCAUCACAAAGACAUAUUGGUGGACCUUUUCUUAUGCCUAUUGCUUCGUUCGUCACCGGCCGAGUUUCUAUCGGUCGACCCCUGCCGGCGAACGUCACCUUCUGUGUAUUUUUCUCAUUUGUAUGGAAUUCGUCGAUGCCGUAGCACUUCGUUCUUCUUUUUCGCCUGCUAUUCCUGCUUGUAUAAUUGUAUGUUUGUGUGCUUCGACGUCGUUUGUAUAUGUCUAUCUAUGUAUGUAUGUAUGUGAUCAUCUGUACCAGAAACAAACGAGGAGCCCUUUCUCGUCCGCUACUUUCUCCCCUUGCCAUUUUCGGUGACGGGGCAGAAAAGCCAAGACGAUGAAAACGAGACGAAGGAAAGGCCCACAGAAUGGCACAGGA
Varroa destructor (honeybee mite) is the source of this 1821-nucleotide long non-coding RNA. RefSeq lists it as uncharacterized. The record is from RefSeq and is a predicted model, not a curated record. NCBI's taxonomy places the organism in Eukaryota, Metazoa, Arthropoda, Arachnida, Mesostigmata, Varroidae.